This 449-nucleotide ribosomal RNA is filed under the name uncultured bacterium. RNAcentral describes it as "bacterial SSU rRNA". It matches the Rfam family "Bacterial small subunit ribosomal RNA", at positions 28 to 478 of the family's 1533-position model. The record is from RNAcentral.
GAUGAACGCUGGCGGCGUGCUUAACACAUGCAAGUCGAACGGGAAUUACUUUAUUGAAACUUCGGUGGAUUUAAUUUAAUUCUAGUGGCGGACGGGUGAGUAACGCGUGGGUAACCUGCCUUAUACAGGGGGAUAACAGUCAGAAAUGGCUGCUAAUACCGCAUAAGCGCACAGAGCUGCAUGGCUCAGUGUGAAAAACUCCGGUGGUAUAAGAUGGACCCGCGUUGGAUUAGCUUGUUGGUGGGGCAACGGCCCACCAAGGCGACGAUCCAUAGCCGGCCUGAGAGGGUGAACGGCCACAUUGGGACUGAGACACGGCCCAGACUCCUACGGGAGGCAGCAGUGGGGAAUAUUGCACAAUGGGGGAAACCCUGAUGCAGCGACGCCGCGUGAAGGAAGAAGUAUCUCGGUAUGUAAACUUCUAUCAGCAGGGAAGAUAGUGACGGUAC